Molecule: ribosomal RNA, 460 nt
Filed under: uncultured bacterium
Lineage: Bacteria
Description: partial 16S ribosomal RNA
Rfam family: Bacterial small subunit ribosomal RNA
Source: RNAcentral
CCUACGGGAGGCUGCAGUGAGGAAUAUUGGUCAAUGGCCGGAAGGCUGAACCAGCCAUGCUGCGUGAAGGUCAGUGCCCUAUGGGCGUUAAACUUCUUUUGUGCGGGAGCAAUAAUGGUCACGUGUGGCCAGACGAGAGUACCGUACGAAUAAGCAUCGGCUAACUCCGUGCCAGCAGCCGCGGUAAUACGGGGGAUGCAAGCGUUAUCCGGAUUUAUUGGGUUUAAAGGGUGCGUAGGCGGUGAGGUAAGUCAGCGGUGAAAUGCCCCCGCUCAACGGGGUGAAGUGCCAUUGAUACUGCCUUGCUUGAAUGCGGAUGCCGUGGGAGGAAUGUGUGGUGUAGCGGUGAAAUGCAUAGAUAUCACACAGAACACCGAUUGCGAAGGCAUCUCACGAAUCCGCGAUUGACGCUGAUGCACGAAAGCGUGGGUAUCAAACAGGAUUAGAUACCCCUGUAGUC